This 465-nucleotide ribosomal RNA is filed under the name Vreelandella stevensii. RNAcentral describes it as "partial 16S ribosomal RNA". It matches the Rfam family "Bacterial small subunit ribosomal RNA", at positions 338 to 795 of the family's 1533-position model. The record is from RNAcentral. Lineage: Bacteria; Pseudomonadati; Pseudomonadota; Gammaproteobacteria; Oceanospirillales; Halomonadaceae.
CCUACGGGGCUCUGCAGUGGGGAAUAUUGGACAAUGGGCGAAAGCCUGAUCCAGCCAUGCCGCGUGUGUGAAGAAGGCCUUCGGGUUGUAAAGCACUUUCAGUGGGGAAGAAAGCCUUGGGGCUAAUACCCUCGAGGAAGGACAUCACCCACAGAAGAAGCACCGGCUAACUCCGUGCCAGCAGCCGCGGUAAUACGGAGGGUGCGAGCGUUAAUCGGAAUUACUGGGCGUAAAGCGCGCGUAGGCGGUCUGAUAAGCCGGUUGUGAAAGCCCCGGGCUCAACCUGGGAACGGCAUCCGGAACUGUCAGGCUAGAGUGCAGGAGAGGAAGGUAGAAUUCCCGGUGUAGCGGUGAAAUGCGUAGAGAUCGGGAGGAAUACCAGUGGCGAAGGCGGCCUUCUGGACUGACACUGACGCUGAGGUGCGAAAGCGUGGGUAGCAAACAGGAUUAGAUACCCGAGUAGUC